GUGGGGAAUCUUAGACAAUGGGGGAAACCCUGAUCUAGCCAUGCCGCGUGAGCGAUGAAGGCCUUAGGGUUGUAAAGCUCUUUCAGAGGGGAAGAUAAUGACGGUACCCUCAGAAGAAGCCCCGGCUAACUCCGUGCCAGCAGCCGCGGUAAUACGGAGGGGGCUAGCGUUGUUCGGAAUUACUGGGCGUAAAGCGCACGUAGGCGGACCAGAAAGUCAGGGGUGAAAUCCCGGGGCUCAACCCCGGAACUGCCUUUGAAACUCCUGGUCUUGAGGUCGAGAGAGGUGAGUGGAAUUCCGAGUGUAGAGGUGAAAUUCGUAGAUAUUCGGAGGAACACCAGUGGCGAAGGCGGCUCACUGGCUCGAUACUGACGCUGAGGUGCGAAAGCGUGGGGAGCAAACAGGAUUAGAUACCCGGGUAGUCC
This 425-nucleotide ribosomal RNA is filed under the name uncultured bacterium. RNAcentral's name for it is "partial 16S ribosomal RNA". It matches the Rfam family "Bacterial small subunit ribosomal RNA", at positions 354 to 796 of the family's 1533-position model. The record is from RNAcentral.